This 441-nucleotide ribosomal RNA is filed under the name uncultured bacterium. RNAcentral's name for it is "partial 16S ribosomal RNA". It matches the Rfam family "Bacterial small subunit ribosomal RNA", at positions 338 to 795 of the family's 1533-position model. The record is from RNAcentral.
CCUACGGGUGACAGCAGUGGGGAAUAUUGGGCAAUGGAGGAAACUCUGACCCAGCAACGCCGCGUGAAGGAUGAAGGUUUUCGGAUUGUAAACUUCUGUCGCGAGGGAUGAAGAAUGACGUUACCUCGUAAGAAAGCCCCGGCAAACUCCGUGCCAGCAGCCGCGGUAAUACGGAGGAUUCGAGCGUUAUCCGGAUUUAUUGGGUUUAAAGGGUGCGUAGGCUGUUGGAUAAGUUAGAGGUCAAAUGUCGGGGCUUAACCCCGUGCCUGCCUCUGAUACUGUUCGACUAGAGAGCGGAUGCAGCAGGCGGAAUGAGUAGUGUAGCGGUGAAAUGCUUAGAUAUUACUCAGAACACCGAUUGCGAAGGCAGCUUGCUAAGCCGCAUCUGACGCUGAUGCACGAAAGCGUGGGUAGCGAACAGGAUUAGAUACCCUGGUAGUC